This 558-nucleotide long non-coding RNA is filed under the name Capra hircus (goat). RNAcentral's name for it is "lncRNA (ENSCHIG00010017072.1)". The record is from RNAcentral. Lineage: Eukaryota; Metazoa; Chordata; Mammalia; Artiodactyla; Bovidae.
AUCACUCAGUCAUGUGUGACUCUUUGCAACCCCACGUACUGUAGCUCCUCUGUCCAUGGUAAGAAUACUGGAGUAGGUAGUCAUUCCCUUCUCCAGGGGAUCUUCCCGAUCCAGGGAUCAAACCCUGCUCUUCUGCAUCACAGGCAGAUUCUUUACCAGCUGGAGCCACUGGGAAAUCAGUAUAAAGCAGAACGGGCCAUGUGCCACAGCAAAGGCUCUGAUGAAGAAAAACUUACAUCCACCUGGUGGAGGAAAUCCCAUGGGCAGGAGAGCCUGGUGGGCUACAGCCCGUGGAGCUGCAGAAGAGUUGGACAUGAGUGAGCUACUGAAUAACAACAAUAGCACAUUCACCAGCCCGGGAUUCGAUGUGCGUUGAGUUAGAACAGUCCUUCACUGGAGUCUAAUUUCAGUUCUACCGAGGUUAAUGUAUCCUUUUUCAGGCUAUGUACUCAUUUAAACCAAAAUUACCCAGCUACUAGCCUUCUUGAUAGCAAUUACAUCCCACGAAACCAAACUACUGAGCUUCAUGUAUUGGUAAUGGCCUUUCUUUCUAUAGUU